CGUACAAGCAGUGGGAGCACGCUUAGGCGUGUGACUGCGUACCUUUUGUAUAAUGGGUCAGCGACUUAUAUUCUGUAGCAAGGUUAACCGAAUAGGGGAGCCGAAGGGAAACCGAGUCUUAACUGGGCGUUAAGUUGCAGGGUAUAGACCCGAAACCCGGUGAUCUAGCCAUGGGCAGGUUGAAGGUUGGGUAACACUAACUGGAGGACCGAACCGACUAAUGUUGAAAAAUUAGCGGAUGACUUGUGGCUGGGGGUGAAAGGCCAAUCAAACCGGGAGAUAGCUGGUUCUCCCCGAAAGCUAUUUAGGUAGCGCCUCGUGAAUUCAUCUCCGGGGGUAGAGCACUGUUUCGGCAAGGGGGUCAUCCCGACUUACCAACCCGAUGCAAACUGCGAAUACCGGAGAAUGUUAUCACGGGAGACACACGGCGGGUGCUAACGUCCGUCGUGAAGAGGGAAACAACCCAGACCGCCAGCUAAGGUCCCAAAGUCAUGGUUAAGUGGGAAACGAUGUGGGAAGGCCCAGACAGCCAGGAUGUUGGCUUAGAAGCAGCCAUCAUUUAAAGAAAGCGUAAUAGCUCACUGGUCGAGUCGGCCUGCGCGGAAGAUGUAACGGGGCUAAACCAUGCACCGAAGCUGCGGCAGCGACGCUGAUGCGUUGUUGGGUAGGGGAGCGUUCUGUAAGCCUGUGAAGGUGUGCUGUGAGGCAUGCUGGAGGUAUCAGAAGUGCGAAUGCUGACAUAAGUAACGAUAAAGCGGGUGAAAAGCCCGCUCGCCGGAAGACCAAGGGUUCCUGUCCAACGUUAAUCGGGGCAGGGUGAGUCGACCCCUAAGGCGAGGCCGAAAGGCGUAGUCGAUGGGAAACAGGUUAAUAUUCCUGUACUUGGUGUUACUGCGAAGGGGGGACGGAGAAGGCUAUGUUGGCCGGGCGACGGUUGUCCCGGUUUAAGCGUGUAGGCUGGUUUUCCAGGCAAAUCCGGAAAACUAAGGCUGAGGCGUGAUGACGAGGCACUACGGUGCUGAAGCAACAAAUGCCCUGCUUCCAGGAAAAGCCUCUAAGCAUCAGGUAACAUCAAAUCGUACCCCAAACCGACACAGGUGGUCAGGUAGAGAAUACCAAGGCGCUUGAGAGAACUCGGGUGAAGGAACUAGGCAAAAUGGUGCCGUAACUUCGGGAGAAGGCACGCUGAUAUGUAGGUGAAGUCCCUCGCGGAUGGAGCUGAAAUCAGUCGAAGAUACCAGCUGGCUGCAACUGUUUAUUAAAAACACAGCACUGUGCAAACACGAAAGUGGACGUAUACGGUGUGACGCCUGCCCGGUGCCGGAAGGUUAAUUGAUGGGGUCAGCGCAAGCGAAGCUCUUGAUCGAAGCCCCGGUAAACGGCGGCCGUAACUAUAACGGUCCUAAGGUAGCGAAAUUCCUUGUCGGGUAAGUUCCGACCUGCACGAAUGGCGUAAUGAUGGCCAGGCUGUCUCCACCCGAGACUCAGUGAAAUUGAACUCGCUGUGAAGAUGCAGUGUACCCGCGGCAAGACGGAAAGACCCCGUGAACCUUUACUAUAGCUUGACACUGAACAUUGAGCCUUGAUGUGUAGGAUAGGUGGGAGGCUUUGAAGUGUGGACGCCAGUCUGCAUGGAGCCGACCUUGAAAUACCACCCUUUAAUGUUUGAUGUUCUAACGUUGACCCGUAAUCCGGGUUGCGGACAGUGUCUGGUGGGUAGUUUGACUGGGGCGGUCUCCUCCUAAAGAGUAACGGAGGAGCACGAAGGUUGGCUAAUCCUGGUCGGACAUCAGGAGGUUAGUGCAAUGGCAUAAGCCAGCUUGACUGCGAGCGUGACGGCGCGAGCAGGUGCGAAAGCAGGUCAUAGUGAUCCGGUGGUUCUGAAUGGAAGGGCCAUCGCUCAACGGAUAAAAGGUACUCCGGGGAUAACAGGCUGAUACCGCCCAAGAGUUCAUAUCGACGGCGGUGUUUGGCACCUCGAUGUCGGCUCAUCACAUCCUGGGGCUGAAGUAGGUCCCAAGGGUAUGGCUGUUCGCCAUUUAAAGUGGUACGCGAGCUGGGUUUAGAACGUCGUGAGACAGUUCGGUCCCUAUCUGCCGUGGGCGCUGGAGAACUGAGGGGGGCUGCUCCUAGUACGAGAGGACCGGAGUGGACGCAUCACUGGUGUUCGGGUUGUCAUGCCAAUGGCACUGCCCGGUAGCUAAAUGCGGAAGAGAUAAGUGCUGAAAGCAUCUAAGCACGAAACUUGCCCCGAGAUGAGUUCUCCCUGACUCCUUGAGAGUCCUGAAGGAACGUUGAAG
Molecule: ribosomal RNA, 2300 nt
Filed under: Escherichia coli
Lineage: Bacteria; Pseudomonadati; Pseudomonadota; Gammaproteobacteria; Enterobacterales; Enterobacteriaceae
Description: partial 23S ribosomal RNA
Rfam family: Bacterial large subunit ribosomal RNA
Source: RNAcentral